UGGGGAAUAUUGGACAAUGGGGGCAACCCUGAUCCAGCAAUUCUGUGUGCACGAUGAAGGUUUUCGGAUUGUAAAGUGCUUUCAGCAGGGAAGAAAAAAAUGACGGUACCUGCAGAAGAAGCGACGGCUAAAUACGUGCCAGCAGCCGCGGUAAUACGUAUGUCGCAAGCGUUAUCCGGAAUUAUUGGGCAUAAAGGGCAUCUAGGCGGCCAGAUAAGUCUGGGGUGAAAACUUGCGGCUCAACCGCAAGCCUGCCCUGAAAACUAUGUGGCUAGAGUACUGGAGAGGUGGACGGAACUGCACGAGUAGAGGUGAAAUUCGUAGAUAUGUGCAGGAAUGCCGAUGAUGAAGAUAGUUCACUGGACGGUAACUGACGCUGAAGUGCGAAAGCUAGGGGAGCAAACAGGAUUAGAUACCCUGGUAGUCCUAGCUGUAAACGAUGAUUACUGGGUGUGGGCAUGAAGAGUGUCCGUGCCGAAGCUAAUGCGAUAAGUAAUCCGCCUGGGGAGUACGGCCGCAAGGCU
RNAcentral lists this ribosomal RNA (524 nucleotides) under uncultured bacterium. Its description in RNAcentral is "bacterial SSU rRNA". It matches the Rfam family "Bacterial small subunit ribosomal RNA", at positions 355 to 895 of the family's 1533-position model. The record is from RNAcentral.